GGAGUAUGCGUAUGCAGGGGGUGCAAGCCCAGCCCCGUCUAAACCACAUGGACAGAGACUGGGGGUGCUUUUGUAGAUGCUGGAGCAAACACCCCAACACAACCAGUCAAAACCCUUCAGGGAAUCCCCUACCUUCCAGAUGAGGCCCCAUCUGGGCCUUAACCCUGUGAUCCUUAAUCUAGCUUUCAAAGCUGGCUGUGUCUCACUGACUUCAGCUCCAGCCAUUCCUUGCUUCCACCCCUGGCCUCCCAUGCUCAGCCAUCCUAAACCACUAAAGCCCUAGACCAUCCAUCUGGCUCCUCUACUUGGGUGCAUCUGACCCUGUGUCCUGGAGGGCACCAACUCUGACACCUUCAGGGUCAAGGGGCCUCCCUAUUUGGUGCUGCCCCACCCCCAACCCUGUCAGCUCUAGAAUCCUCUCUUCCACAGUGCUGAUCACACUGGGUCCCGCUGUUCCCAUGUCUGCCUCCCUACCAGACUGAGCUCCAAGCUGCCAGGGGCCUCGUCUCCAUUUGGGUCCCAGUUCCCACCAUAGAGCUGGGCAUGGAGGACAGCUCAGGGAAGCUUCUUGGGAAAUGAAUUCUGGGAGUUCCCUCUGCCAAGGACCCACUGUGUUAAGAGCUUUAAGCUGGGCCAGGGGAGCAGGAAGACCCCCGGAGCACCGGAAGCAAGAAAGAGGCAGGCAGGGGCGGCUAGCCAGGUUUGUGCUCGGACUGUAUUCACACAGAGACACGUGGCAGCUUACAUUGGACAAAACGAGUAAUAAAAAUUGGCUUUAAAUAUGGAAAAAACAGGGCCCUGUAAUCCCAUGCUACCCUAACACUGGGACCAGGAUGGCCAUCACAGUCUGGGGAAGGGCCAGGGCUGGGGCCUGGGGCACAGGCACAGCCUCGCCCUAUCCCCUUCACCCACACAGGUACACGCGCGUGCACGCACCCCACAGGCGCACACAGGAAGGGUGGAUUAUUGCUGGGCACAUGUGUCUAUUGUUAUGAGGGGAGUCCGGAAUGUUUGAGGGUUGACCAGGGAUGCCCCACCCCCUCCUAGGGGCUGGGCUUGGGCGUUUCUGAAAGAGGUGUCUUCAGGACAGAGCCCAGUAUCAGGGACCAGGCUGUGGGAGCUGGAAGGCAGAGGCAGACCUAUCUGGGCCGGCCGGGGCAGUGGGUUGAUGGGUAUCACAGGCAGCCCAAUCUCUGGCCACUUUGGCACAGGCCUAGGGCAUACAGAGGCCCCAGACCCAGCGGUGACAAGCACUGAGAAGGGACAGCUUUGGGCCCCAGAGGGUAGCAGCCUGAGCCCAGGGCAGCAGGGGGAGGCACAAGUCUUACUCAGAGGCCGGGGGUGGCCAGCACAGUGCUGAAGGCUCAGGGGUGUGACCACCCUCAGCCAUCCAAGCUGGG
Molecule: long non-coding RNA, 1400 nt
Organism: Gorilla gorilla gorilla (western lowland gorilla)
Lineage: Eukaryota; Metazoa; Chordata; Mammalia; Primates; Hominidae
Exons: 2
Source: RefSeq, a predicted model, not a curated record